GUAGUGUUAGUUCAGUGGUAGAAUCCUUGCCUUCCAUGAAGGAGACCCGGGUUCGAUUCCCGGCCAAGGCA
Molecule: transfer RNA, 71 nt
Filed under: Loxodonta africana (African savanna elephant)
Lineage: Eukaryota; Metazoa; Chordata; Mammalia; Proboscidea; Elephantidae
Rfam family: tRNA
About the family: Transfer RNA (tRNA) molecules are approximately 80 nucleotides in length.
Source: Rfam by way of RNAcentral